GCACCGGCUAACUCCGUGCCAGCAGCCGCGGUAAUACGGAGGGUGCGAGCGUUAAUCGGAAUUACUGGGCGUAAAGCGCAUGCAGGCGGCCUGUUAAGUCAGAUGUGAAAGACCCGGGGCUUAACCUCGGAAUUGCAUUUGAAACUGGCAGGCUAGAGUCUUGUAGAGGGGGGUAGGAAGUUUCAGGUGUAGCGGUGAAAUGCGUAGAGAUCUGAAGGAAUACCAGUGGCGAAGGCGGCCCCCUCGGACAAAGACUGACGCUCAGAUGCGAAAGCCGUGGGGACGCAAACAGGACUUAGACUACCCCUGGUAG
Molecule: ribosomal RNA, 313 nt
Filed under: uncultured bacterium
Lineage: Bacteria
Description: bacterial SSU rRNA
Rfam family: Bacterial small subunit ribosomal RNA
Source: RNAcentral